This 83-nucleotide microRNA precursor is filed under the name Drosophila pseudoobscura. RNAcentral describes it as "microRNA dps-mir-2566b precursor". It matches the Rfam family "mir-2566 microRNA precursor family". The record is from miRBase by way of RNAcentral. RNAcentral also lists the same sequence under 1 other name. Lineage: Eukaryota; Metazoa; Arthropoda; Insecta; Diptera; Drosophilidae.
AUUUGCAUUUGGCUUUAGAAACACAAAGCAUGUGUGGUAUUUCAACUCAUACAUAUCUUGUGUUUCUAGAUCAAAUGUGAGUA